CCCUUAGAUGUUCUGGGCCGCACGCGCGCUACACUGAUGCAUUCAACGAGUCUAAAACCUGCUCUGAUAGGGGUGGGUAAUCUUUUGAAUGUGCAUCGUGAUUGGGAUAGAUGAUUGCAAUUUUUCAUCUUCAACGAGGAAUGCCUAGUAAACGCAAGUCAUCAGCUUGCAUUGAUUACGUCCCUGCCCUUUGUCCACACCGCCCGUCGCUCCUACCGAUUGAAUGAUCCGAUGAAUAUCAUGGAUUGAGGAUGCAAGCAGGUUCGCCUGUCUUCAUCUUCGAGAAGUGAAGUAAAUCUUAUCAUUUAGAGGAAGGAGAAGUCGUAACA
This 329-nucleotide ribosomal RNA is filed under the name uncultured eukaryote. Its description in RNAcentral is "partial 18S ribosomal RNA". It matches the Rfam family "Eukaryotic small subunit ribosomal RNA", at positions 1470 to 1796 of the family's 1831-position model. The record is from RNAcentral.